GAUGAACGCUAGCUACAGGCUUAACACAUGCAAGUCGAGGGGAAACGGCAUUGAGUGCUUGCACUCUUUGGACGUCGACCGGCGCACGGGUGAGUAACGCGUAUCCAACCUUCCCAUUACUGUGGGAUAACCUGCCGAAAGGCAGACUAAUACCGCAUAGUCUUCGAUGACGGCAUCAGAUUUGAAGUAAAGAUUUAUCGGUAAUGGAUGGGGAUGCGUCUGAUUAGCUUGUUGGCGGGGUAACGGCCCACCAAGGCGACGAUCAGUAGGGGUUCUGAGAGGAAGGUCCCCCACAUUGGAACUGAGACACGGUCCAAACUCCUACGGGAGGCAGCAGUGAGGAAUAUUGAUCAAUGGACGGAAGUCUGAACCAGCCAAGUAGCGUGCAGGAUGACGGCCCUAUGGGUUGUAAACUGCUUUUGUAUGGGGAUAAAGUUAGGGACGUGUCCCUAUUUGCAGGUACCAUACGAAUAAGGACCGGCUAAUUCCGUG
Molecule: ribosomal RNA, 492 nt
Filed under: uncultured bacterium
Lineage: Bacteria
Description: partial 16S ribosomal RNA
Rfam family: Bacterial small subunit ribosomal RNA
Source: RNAcentral